Long non-coding RNA from Gopherus evgoodei (Goodes thornscrub tortoise), 1150 nucleotides. RefSeq lists it as uncharacterized. The transcript is spliced from 5 exons. The record is from RefSeq and is a predicted model, not a curated record. Lineage: Eukaryota; Metazoa; Chordata; Testudines; Testudinidae.
GACAAGGCUAAGAAGCAGUCAGUAGGCUGAACCAGCUGUGACAGAAUGGCCUUUUUACUAACAGCAGUCUUGGUUUUCCAGACUUUACUGGGAAAUGCUGCUGGAGAAGGAUGGGAAUCAUAUCUCAAUUUUUCCCUUUGGAACCACACAUUUUAUUUCUAUGACAAUUACACAGAUGACUAUCCUCUAGAAAACGCCACAGAUUUUUAUUAUCCAGAAUACGUCACAAGUUAUUAUCGUGAAUUUGAAACUUUGUUUGAAAAGAAUUUGACAGAGUCUGCAGGAUCAUCACUCCAUGGCCAUCUUCCCUUCUUCUUUGUCCUUCUCCAUCUUCUAUGUUUUUUGCUACAACAAUUCACACUUCUUUUGUAGAAGAUGUGAACAGCUUUGCUUUGAAUUAGAACAUUCCUCAAGGAGGAAAAUAAAGAACUCUGUCACAUAUGUAAAUUACUUCCCCUACAAUGAAUCAGUCAUCUUUUUUUAGUGCAGUUUAUGUAUUUAUGUAGAAACACAAACAAAUAUAACAGCUAUGUUUCCUCAUAGGUAGUAUAAAUUGCAUGAAUGUUGACUAGCUGUUUGUAUCUUCUGUAUUUCUUCCUCUCACAUUUCCUCACUAUCAUUCACUGGGUCCUAUUGUAAAUAAGAAAUAUGUGCCAACAAAAUGAAGCACUGGCUGAUCACUCCAGAUCUUUUAGUGCUAUCUGAUGUUCUGACAUCACUGGAUCAGCUGCUGCUGUUUCCCUGGAAUGCAAGCCCUUGGAUCUGCUCUUCAAUAGUUUCAGCUGCAUCCAGAAAAAGUCUGCCUUAUAGCUGUUGAAACAAACACAAUAUAAAGGGAGCAAGUGUACUUACCGGUUCACCUCCCCUAAAACAAUCACCAUUACAUUUAAAAUGGAUGCUGCCUGCUAGCCAUGUUUAUGUCCGUGUUCCUGUUCACUCUAGACAGAGUUUCAGGUCUCUGCCUUCCAAUGACCAUAGAUCCUGCAAACUCUCUCACAUGAAUAGUCCUGUAAGUAGAUAUGUCAGGAAGAGAGGAGGCUCAGAUACAGAUGACAAAUGGUUAGAUACUUCUGUAUGAGGAAAGACUGAAAAAAGUGGGACUGCUUUGGAGAGGAGAAGAAUAAGAAAGGACAUGAUUGAGACAUACAAA